UAUUUAAGAAAAUAACCUUUAGCUACCAUAGCAUUAAAUCCUCAAACAAAAAACAGUAGGUUCCUAGCUCUAUCUUCUCUCCUCUUUCUUUUCUCUCUCGAAAGGAAACAAAUCUCUCGCCGUCCGGUGUAAAUCCGGCAUUUUCCGUUUACAUAGUGGUGGUGGUCGGCUCUCGUCUAGCACUGACUGGCUUCUUCAGCAGCGGUGGCUAGCUCCUGCCUCACAUCAAUCGACUAUUGUAGCGGUGAUGGUCAUUUUUCAAGUUUCAGUGUUAAAUUUGUUUUAUUUUUAGUGAAAAUUAGUAUUAUUUUUUUAAAAGGAGUGUAAGUGUUAAAUCUAUAUUACGUCAAAACCAUGCCGAACUUCGAAAACCACCUUAGUUUCCUAACAUCAGACAUGAUACUCCUACUUCAAAAAAAAAAA
This 423-nucleotide small RNA is filed under the name Arabidopsis thaliana (thale cress). Its description in RNAcentral is "ATSL054840". The record is from RNAcentral. Lineage: Eukaryota; Viridiplantae; Streptophyta; Magnoliopsida; Brassicales; Brassicaceae.